AUCAAGUUACUUUAUUUUGAUGAUAUUCUAAUAUUUUGUCAAAAUAAGUAUGUUUUUGAAGCACAAUGUUAAAGAGUUGAUUCCCUCGAAAUCAUCGUAUCCCACAUUCAUUUACAACAAAUAAAUGAAUGAAGAAGAAUCCAAGAAAAUGCACGACUGUGACUUCUUAUGCUGUCUCUGAAUUUUCCUAUGCUGCUUCUUGUCUCACAUAGGGAAAAAAACAAAAAUGGGGAUGCAAACUGGUUUUUUCCUGUUAUGCUUGCGCCAAGGAUCGUUUCCCUUGUUUUCAUCGGCAUUCCUGUCUCGGUCUAAUAAUAAAGCCAAAAGACGAAAAAGGUUAUAAAUACACAAACGAAAGUGCAUUACAUUCUUAGACAGUAACAAGCAAUCAGCAUAAAUGGAGCAAUUAAAUAUGGCAUUGACAAUGAUAAAGCGCGAUGAGAAUGCAAGAAGGCGUCAAAUGCGCAAUAUAGACAGUGAUCUGUCACCUGAACCAAGGAAUAUUAAGCGCAGAAGACAUGAAACGGCUUCUACUGCUGCUGCAAUCAGCUGUGAAGGUCGACUGAUCAAACAAGAAGUCGAUCCAACUGCUCCAACAACAGUGAAGAGAAGUUCAAGAUUCCGAGGUGUAAGCAAGCAUAAAUUGACAGGUCGAUAUGAAGCACACUUGUGGGACAAACUCUCGUGGAAUGUAACUCAGAAGAAAAAGGGAAAACAAGGUAACUUACUUGGUCUCGUUCGCCACUAUUUUCAGCUAUAUUUCUAAUCAAUGCUGGUGCCUGACAUGAAAUCUUCUGUUUUCUUCUAUGGACUGUACUCUGGACUGCAAAACUCUAAAUGAACAGUUUAUCUUGGUGAGUAUAAUUUUACCAAAAUGUGUACAUGUAUCAAAGUGAGAAUUGUUAAGACAAGUGCAUUGAUUUAUUAAUUUUUCUCAGGGGCAUUUGAUGAAGAAGAAGCUGCAGCGAGAGCAUAUGAUUUAGCUGCACUCAAGUAUUGGGGGACAUCGACAUUUACCAAUUUUCCUGUAUGAUUAUCAACUGGGAUAUGCUCAUAUCGAACUCUGUUAAUGCGAAAUGCAACCUCCAGACUAAUGAAUUCACUGAUAUUUUCUGCAGAUAUCUGAUUACGAGAAGGAAAUUGAAAUAAUGCAGACUGUCACGAAAGAAGAGUACUUGGCCUCACUAAGAAGGUAAUAUUUCACUAUCUUAUUUGACAUAAUUAAGGAUUUCGAGCAAUAAAUGGAUGCAAACUAAAUAUAUUUUCUUUACUGCAGAAAAAGCAGUGGAUUUUCAAGAGGGAUAUCAAAGUACAGAGGAGUUGCCAGGUAUAAUAUGAGUACUACAUAAGAAAUUAAUUUCAUUAUUGAAGAUUUUGGGGAAUUACGCUAAACACAUCAAUGGCAAAAAAAUGCAGACAUCAUCACAAUGGAAGGUGGGAAGCUAGGAUAGGAAGAGUUUACGGAAAUAAGUACCUCUACCUUGGAACUUACAGUAAGUCACGGCAAAAAUAAUGCCUCAGAUAAUUCAUAGUAAAACAGAAGGAAAAUUUUUUAUUGCCA
Molecule: long non-coding RNA, 1561 nt
Filed under: Olea europaea (common olive)
Lineage: Eukaryota; Viridiplantae; Streptophyta; Magnoliopsida; Lamiales; Oleaceae
Description: long non-coding RNA (OEUR_LNC014580)
Source: RNAcentral